GGGAAUUGUUCGCAAUGGGCGCAAGCCUGACGACGCAACGCCGCGUGGAGGAUGAAAAUCUUCGGGUCGUAAACUCCUGUCGAGUGGGAAGAAUAGUUUCCGGGCGAAUAUCCCGGGCGCCUGGCGGUACCACUAAAGGAAGCACCGGCUCACUCUGUGCCAGCAGCCGCGGUAAGACAGAGGGGGCAAGCGUUGUCCGGAUUUACUGGGCGUACAGCGCGCGCAGGCGGUCGUGUAGGUACCUGGUGACAGUCUCGGGCUCAACUCGAGGGGGUCUGGGUAGACCGCACGACUGGAGGCAGGGAGAGGGAUGUGGAAUACCCGGUGGAGCGGUGAAAUGCGUAGAGAUCGGGUGGAACACCAGUGGCGAAGGCGGCAUCCUGGCCCUGACCUGACGCUGAGGCGCGAGAGCGUGGGGAGCAAA
This 424-nucleotide ribosomal RNA is filed under the name uncultured bacterium. RNAcentral describes it as "bacterial SSU rRNA". It matches the Rfam family "Bacterial small subunit ribosomal RNA", at positions 357 to 772 of the family's 1533-position model. The record is from RNAcentral.